GUUUAGGUAGGGUAUGAAAUUGGAACAACGGUUUUUGGGUCUUUUGGUUCAGAGUACAUGAAAUCAUUCUCUCACUACGUUUCUUUCCUAUUAUUCCUGUAGGGUUUUGCAAUCCUCUUUUCCUUUUAUCUAUAGUGAAUGUAGCAUUUUUCAAAAGUUGUUCUUUUAUUGUUUUUUCGCUUUUCUCUUUCUUUCUUUUCAUGUUGUUGUUGUUUUUCUUUCUUUUUUUUUCUUUUUCUCUUCUUUUUUUUUCUUCUUUUUUUUUAUACGACAUUCACUUACUAUUCACGUACUGCAAAGUUACCCCAAACUUAAAGGUUGCUAUUCCAACAGCAACCUCAAACUUAGAUAGAAACGUAGAGAUGAAAUCAAUCCUCACAUACUCUGAACAGGGUAGGAUAGGUAUAAGGUCAUGGCUUUAGAGAAACGGGUAUAUCAGAAAUAAAUGAUUAACAGGCUCAACAGGGUAAAACAAUGGAUAAUAAUAAUAAUGGGAUGGCUAGAAAGGCUCUAGGUGAUAAACAAAAAACAUGCCUCAGUGUGUGUAGUCGUACAGCUAAUAAUAACAAAAGAACAUACGCAAACUAAGAUUGAUAAAGACAUACCUGAUAUCUCUCAUAUGAUGAUAAGUGUUUGGCUUUUUCUGAUCUCACCAGGACGGGUUAAGCUGAC
Molecule: long non-coding RNA, 672 nt
Filed under: Lathyrus oleraceus (garden pea)
Lineage: Eukaryota; Viridiplantae; Streptophyta; Magnoliopsida; Fabales; Fabaceae
Description: Pisum sativum (pea) long non-coding RNA (PSAT_LNC015330)
Source: RNAcentral